GCAUUUGCCAGUCCGAUAGAAAACUUACCAGUAGCAUACCAUUGAAAUUUGGUCCCGGUGUUUUCAAGAUUUUGUCAAAAGUCAAAAUUUGGUUGGUAAUUUUCUGCUAAAGAAAACAACAAAAACGAGAAUAUUUAAACAACCAACACCGAUGUAAAUAGACGAAGAUGCUAGAGGAAAAUACAUUUUUAUAUUUACACAAAAUAUAAUAGUUUACAGUUUUGAAUCGUUAUGGAGGAUACUUUGAGUGCAGAAUCAAUUGAAUCAUUGCCGACAAGUGAGGAGUUUGAAUUUCUGUCCGAUAAACCGGGAGCUAGCAAGACGCCAACGUUAUCUUUUGCCGGAGGCCUUAACGAAUUAAGAGAAGCUUUAAG
Molecule: long non-coding RNA, 374 nt
Organism: Sitophilus oryzae (rice weevil)
Lineage: Eukaryota; Metazoa; Arthropoda; Insecta; Coleoptera; Curculionidae
Exons: 3
Source: RefSeq, a predicted model, not a curated record